RNAcentral lists this small nucleolar RNA (74 nucleotides) under Anabas testudineus (climbing perch). Its description in RNAcentral is "Small nucleolar RNA SNORD19 (ENSATEG00000028271.1)". It matches the Rfam family "Small nucleolar RNA SNORD19". Rfam says of the family: Homo sapiens C/D box snoRNA HBII-108: This snoRNA is the human orthologue of the mouse MBII-108 and is predicted to guide 2'O-ribose methylation of the small 18S rRNA on position G683. snoRNA HBII-108 is encoded in a nucleostemin (NS) gene intron like the HBII-210 The record is from Rfam by way of RNAcentral. Lineage: Eukaryota; Metazoa; Chordata; Actinopteri; Anabantiformes; Anabantidae.
GACAUUUGAGGAAAAAAAAAGAAAUAUGAUGUUACUGAAAACUGACAAGAUCCAUGUCUAAUGGCAUAAUGGAC